Oncorhynchus tshawytscha (Chinook salmon) is the source of this 1325-nucleotide long non-coding RNA. RefSeq lists it as uncharacterized. The transcript has 3 exons. Lineage: Eukaryota; Metazoa; Chordata; Actinopteri; Salmoniformes; Salmonidae. The record is from RefSeq and is a predicted model, not a curated record.
GUUUCAAAUAUUGAGUGGAAAAUUCGUUUUCAUUGAAAACAUCUAAUUUUCUAAUAUGUAUAUAAGAGAGGUUGAUUCUCUUUGCUGAUAUUAUCCACAAUGCACAUUAACGCUCAUGUUGAGACAUCUUCAAGUCGGCAAUGUUGCGAGGACCCAGAAAUGGUGGGCGUACGAGAAAGAGCUGAUUCUGAUGGCAUUGUGGCAUAUGUUUCGCCACCUCAAGCCCCUGCCAAGGCAAAGUAGCUGGUGAAGGAGAGUGAGUGACGUACACAUCCUUCAGAAAGGACAACAUCUACUAGGCUAUAUAAUGGACUGAGACUAUGAAGCCCCAGAGCUGGUUGAGGAAGAACUGGCAGUGGGUGGUUGGGGGAUCUUUUCUUGGCAUCCAUUUAACCACCUGGCUCAUGCAGAGGGCUAUGAGAAGCGUCGCUCGCUCUGAGAUGUCACUGAAAGAGAAGGAUUCCCAGGAGUGACUGGUGGUAAGGCGUUUUGCCGGUGGACUACUAUAUUUUUAACGACUCACGUGUGGAGUAAAUGGAAUUGAACUCUGAACUCAAGAUAAUGAUGUAAUUACCUGUGCUUGAUUAGCUGCAAAUGUUAUUCCUCUGUUAGAGAUCAAAUUAAACUAUGAAUUUCACAAUAAGUCAAACUGCAGAGUAACAUGCUAACAGGUGUGCGGAGUAUGAACAUCUUUCACCCAGGGAAGAUCAGGGCUGCAUUUCAAAACACUUUACAGACAGACAUCACAUAAUCGGUUACAUUUAAAAUGUCAGUCAUGAAAGCAAACAUUUGAUUCUUCCCAUUGAAACAAAAUUUGAGAUUAUAUUAAAUUCGACCAAGGAGUGGGCUUAAGUACCAUCGCAAUUGAGUGCAAUAUUUUUUUUAUUUAACCUUUAACUAAGCAAGUCAAUAUUGGGACCUCCAUUCUUAACACGUUCCAUCUUCAACAUCUUUAAAGCUGUUUUCACUUUAUCGUGCUGACCCAAACUGUACUGUGCUGGUUCAGAGAUUUUAUUUUCACAUGCUCCUUUCCAGCAUGGUUCCAGAAAACGACGGUGAAUGCGUAACCAGGCCAGCGCAACACAGCUCGGCUGGAUCAGUAAGGUGGAAAGAGUUUCAUCGUUUCCGUCAUCAGCAUUGCUCUUUCUCCAGAUCAGUGCCAAUGAUGGAAAUUAAAAAGCCACCUUGGAUUGAAAUAUUAAUGUGGCCAAUGUCUGCUUUUAGUGGACUAUCAUGUUGUUGCGCUCUCUAAAACAUGAUACCCACAUGAAAAAGCUUAUACUGCCCUCUAGGGUUAGAAUAAGAGGAUUACAACUACUGUCAUG